RNAcentral lists this transfer RNA (72 nucleotides) under Camelus ferus (Wild Bactrian camel). It matches the Rfam family "tRNA". From Rfam's summary of the family: Transfer RNA (tRNA) molecules are approximately 80 nucleotides in length. Their secondary structure includes four short double-helical elements and three loops (D, anti-codon, and T loops). Further hydrogen bonds mediate the characteristic L-shaped molecular structure. tRNAs have two regions of fundamental functional importance: the anti-codon, which is responsible for specific mRNA codon recognition, and the 3' end, to which the tRNAs corresponding amino acid is attached (by aminoacyl-tRNA synthetases). tRNAs cope with the degeneracy of the genetic code in two manners: having more than one tRNA (with a specific anti-codon) for a particular amino acid; and 'wobble' base-pairing, i.e. permitting non-standard base-pairing at the 3rd anti-codon position. Lineage: Eukaryota; Metazoa; Chordata; Mammalia; Artiodactyla; Camelidae. The record is from Rfam by way of RNAcentral.
GAGGGUAUAGCUCAGUGGUAGAGUGAUAGCUUAGCAUACAUAAGGUCCUGGGUUCAAUCCCCAGUACCUCCA